AAACUCUCGUUAAGGAACUCGGCAAAGUGACCCCGUAACUUCGGGAGAAGGGGUGCUGACUUUUAGUCAGCCGCAGUGAAUAGGCCCAAGCAACUGUUUAUCAAAAACACAGCUCUCUGCUAAAUCGUAAGAUGAUGUAUAGGGGGUGACGCCUGCCCGGUGCUGGAAGGUUAAGAGGAGGGUUUAGCGUAAGCGAAGAUCUGAAUUGAAGCCCCAGUAAACGGCGACCGUAACAAUAACGGUCCUAAGGUAGCGAAAUUCCUUGUCGGGUAAGUUCCGACCCGCACGAAAGGCGUAAUGAUUUGGGCACUGUCUCAACGAGAGACUCGGUGAAAUUUUAGUACCUGUGAAGAUGCAGGUUACCCGCGACAGGACGGAAAGACCCCAUGGAGCUUUACUGCAGUUUGAUAUUGAGUAUCUGUACCACAUGUACAGGAUAGGUAGGAGCCUAUGAAAUCGGGACGCCAGUUUCGAUUGAGGCGCUGUUGGGAUACUACCCUUGUGUUAUGGCUACUCUAACCCGGUAGGUUAAUCAUCUACGGAGACAGUGUCUGACGGGCAGUUUGACUGGGGCGGUCGCCUCCUAAAAGGUAACGGAGGCGCCCAAAGGUUCCCUCAGAAUGGUUGGAAAUCAUUCGCAGAGUGUAAAGGUAUAAGGGAGCUUGACUGCGAGAGCUACAACUCGAGCAGGGACGAAAGUCGGGCUUAGUGAUCCGGUGGUUCCGUAUGGAAGGGCCAUCGCUCAACGGAUAAAAGCUACCCUGGGGAUAACAGGCUUAUCUCCCCCAAGAGUUCACAUCGACGGGGAGGUUUGGCACCUCGAUGUCGGCUCGUCGCAUCCUGGGGCUGUAGUCGGUCCCAAGGGUUGGGCUGUUCGCCCAUUAAAGCGGCACGCGAGCUGGGUUCAGAACGUCGUGGGACAGUUCGGUCCCUAUCCGUCGCGGGCGUAGGAAAUUUGAGAGGAUCUGCUCCUAGUACGAGAGGACAGAGUGGACUUACCGCUGGUGUACCAGUUGUCUCGCCAGAGGCAUCGCUGGGUAGCUAUGUAGGGAAGGGAUAAACGCUGAAAGCAUCUAAGUGUGAAACCCACCUCAAGAUGAGAUUUCCCAUAACAUUAAGUUAGUAAGAGCCCUGAGAGAAGAUCAGGUAGAUAGGUUGGAAGUGGAAGUGUGGCGACACAUGUAGCGGACCAAUACUAGUCGCUCGAGGACUUAUCCG
RNAcentral lists this ribosomal RNA (1218 nucleotides) under metagenome. RNAcentral describes it as "bacterial LSU rRNA". It matches the Rfam family "Bacterial large subunit ribosomal RNA", at positions 1696 to 2925 of the family's 2925-position model. The record is from RNAcentral.